GACUUGCGCUGCUACCAUGCAAGUCGAGCGGUAAGGCCUUUCGGGGUACACGAGCGGCGAACGGGUGAGUAACACGUGGGUGAUCUGCCCUGCACUUCGGGAUAAGCCUGGGAAACUGGGUCUAAUACCGGAUAUGACCUCCUAUCGCAUGGUGGGUGGUGGAAAGAUUUAUCGGUGCAGGAUGGGCCCGCGGCCUAUCAGCUUGUUGGUGGGGUAAUGGCCUACCAAGGCGACGACGGGUAGCCGACCUGAGAGGGUGACCGGCCACACUGGGACUGAGACACGGCCCAGACUCCUACGGGAGGCAGCAGUGGGGAAUAUUGCACAAUGGGCGAAAGCCUGAUGCAGCGACGCCGCGUGAGGGAUGACGGCCUUCGGGUUGUAAACCUCUUUCAGCAGGGACGAAGCGCAAGUGACGGUACCUGCAGAAGAAGCACCGGCUAACUACAUGCCAGCAGCCGCGGUAAUACGUAGGGUGCAAGCGUUGUCCGGAAUUACUGGGCGUAAAGAGUUCGUAGGCGGUUUGUCGCGUCGUUUGUGAAAACCAGCAGCUCAACUGCUGGCUUGCAGGCGAUACGGGCAGACUUGAGUACUGCAGGGGAGACUGGAAUUCCUGGUGUAGCGGUGAAAUGCGCAGAUAUCAGGAGGAACACCGGUGGCGAAGGCGGGUCUCUGGGCAGUAACUGACGCUGAGGAACGAAAGCGUGGGUAGCGAACAGGAUUAGAUACCCUGGUAGUCCACGCCGUAAACGGUGGCGCUAGGUGUGGGUUCCUUCCACGGAAUCCGUGCCGUAGCUAACGCAUUAAGCGCCCCGCCUGGGGAGUACGGCCGCAAGGCUAAAACUCAAGGAAUUGACGGGGGCCCGCACAUGCGGCGGAGCAUGUGAUCACU
This 892-nucleotide ribosomal RNA is filed under the name Rhodococcus qingshengii. RNAcentral describes it as "bacterial SSU rRNA". It matches the Rfam family "Bacterial small subunit ribosomal RNA", at positions 41 to 951 of the family's 1533-position model. The record is from RNAcentral. Lineage: Bacteria; Bacillati; Actinomycetota; Actinomycetes; Mycobacteriales; Nocardiaceae.